GCUCCUGUUAGUCUCUCUGGAUAAGAGCGUCUGCUAAAUUACUAAAAUGUAAAUGUUAAGGGGCCAAUAGAAUGGUCCCAAAACUGCAAACCCCGCCCAUCUGACACUCCAGGCAGACUAGCGCAAACGCUCAGAGUAUUUGAAGGAUUUCAAAUAAUACUUGAACCCAGGUCUGGUGUGAUCAACACUAACAACACUCAACUACCCAGGUCUGGUGUGAUCUACACUGUCUAACAACACUCAACUACCCAGGUCUGGUGUGAUCUACACUGUCUAACAACACUCAACUACCCAGGUCUGGUGUGAUCUACACUGUCUAACAACACUCAACUACCCAGGUCUGGUGUGAUCUACACUAACAACACUCAACUACCCAGGUCUGGUGUGAUCUACACUGUCUAACAACACUCAACUACCCAGGUCUGGUGUGAUCUACACUGUCUAACAACACUCAACUACCCAGGUCUGGUGUGAUCUACACUGUCUAACAACACUCAACUACCCAGGUCUGGUGUGAUCUACACUGUCUAACAACACUCAACUACCCAGGUCUGGUGUGAUCUACACUGUCUAACAACACUCAACUACCCAGGUCUGGUGUGAUCUACACUGUCUAACAACACUCAACUACCCAGGUCUGGUGUGAUCUACACUGUCUAACAACACUCAACUACCCAGGUCUGGUGUGAUCUACACUAACAACACUCAACUACCCAGGUCUGGUGUGAUCUACACUAACAACACUCAACUACCCAGGUCUGGUGUGAUCUACACUAACAACACUCAACUACCCAGGUCUGGUGUGAUCUACACUGUCUAACAACACUCAACUACCCAGGUCUGGUGUGAUCUACACUGUCUAACAACACUCAACUACCCAGGUCUGGUGUGAUCUACACUGUCUAACAACACUCAACUACCCAGGUCUGGUGUGAUCUACACUAACAACACUCAACUACCCAGGUCUGGUGUGAUCUACACUGUCUAACAACACUCAACUACUUUAUGAACCAUUUUCUAAUAAUUGCGCCAACAGUUGUUGCCUUCUCACCAAGCUGCUUGCCUAUUGUCCUG
Molecule: long non-coding RNA, 1074 nt
Organism: Coregonus clupeaformis (lake whitefish)
Lineage: Eukaryota; Metazoa; Chordata; Actinopteri; Salmoniformes; Salmonidae
Exons: 3
Source: RefSeq, a predicted model, not a curated record